GACAGAGGAUGCAAGCGUUAUCCGGAAUGAUUGGGCGUAAAGCGUCUGUAGGUGGCUUUUCAAGUCCGCCGUCAAAUCCCAGGGCUCAACCCUGGACAGGCGGUGGAAACUACCAAGCUUGAGUGCGGUAGAGGGAGAGGGAAUUUCCGGUGGAGCGGUGAAAUGCGUUGAGAUCGGAAAGAACACCAACGGCUAAAGCACUCUGCUGGGCCGACACUGACGCUGAGACACGAAAGCUAGGGGAGCAAAUGGG
Molecule: ribosomal RNA, 253 nt
Filed under: uncultured bacterium
Lineage: Bacteria
Description: partial 16S ribosomal RNA
Rfam family: Bacterial small subunit ribosomal RNA
Source: RNAcentral